This 588-nucleotide ribosomal RNA is filed under the name uncultured bacterium. Its description in RNAcentral is "bacterial SSU rRNA". It matches the Rfam family "Bacterial small subunit ribosomal RNA", at positions 338 to 916 of the family's 1533-position model. The record is from RNAcentral.
CCUACGGGAGGCAGCAGUGGGGAAUUUUGGACAAUGGGCGAAAGCCUGAUCCAGCCAUGCCGCGUGCAGGAUGAAGGCCUUCGGGUUGUAAACUGCUUUUGUACGGAACGAAAAGGUCUUUUCUAAUAAAGAAGGCUCAUGACGGUACCGUAAGAAUAAGCACCGGCUAACUACGUGCCAGCAGCCGCGGUAAUACGUAGGGUGCGAGCGUUAAUCGGAAUUACUGGGCGUAAAGCGUGCGCAGGCGGUUAUAUAAGACAGUUGUGAAAUCCCCGGGCUCAACCUGGGAACUGCAUCUGUGACUGUAUAGCUAGAGUACGGUAGAGGGGGAUGGAAUUCCGCGUGUAGCAGUGAAAUGCGUAGAUAUGCGGAGGAACACCGAUGGCGAAGGCAAUCCCCUGGACCUGUACUGACGCUCAUGCACGAAAGCGUGGGGAGACAAACAGGAUUAGAUACCCUGGUACGUCCACGCCCUAAACGAUGUACAACUGGUUGUUGGGUCUUCACUGACUCAGUAACGAAGCUAACGCGUGAAGUUGACCGCCUGGGGAGUACGGCCGCGAAGGUUGAACUCGAAAGGAUUGACGG